RNAcentral lists this ribosomal RNA (253 nucleotides) under uncultured bacterium. RNAcentral describes it as "partial 16S ribosomal RNA". It matches the Rfam family "Bacterial small subunit ribosomal RNA", at positions 524 to 776 of the family's 1533-position model. The record is from RNAcentral.
UACGGAGGGAGCUAGCGUUAUUCGGAAUUACUGGGCGUAAAGCGCACGUAGGCGGCUUGUUAAGUCAGGGGUGAAAUCCUGGAGCUCAACUCCAGAACUGCCUUUGAUACUGGCGAGCUUGAGUUCGGGAGAGGUGAGUGGAACUGCGAGUGUAGAGGUGAAAUUCGUAGAUAUUCGCAAGAACACCAGUGGCGAAGGCGGCUCACUGGCCCGAUACUGACGCUGAGGUGCGAAAGCGUGGGGAGCAAACAGG